AAACUUUAUAAUUCUGUAGGAAAUGACAUGCGUUUACCGGUACACCAGCGGUGAAUUGGUUUUACGUGAAUUCUGUAGGGAGAAAUUGGCCAGUUUUUCUUAUUCAAUGUUGUUCAUACAACAGUAAGCGACAACACAUCACCACAGGACGAAAAGAAGAUCUGAGCUGUAAAAAAAUAUGCCCAAGAACAAAGGUAAGUGAGGAAAGAAUCGUAGACGUGGAAAGAAUGAGAAUGAGUCAGAGAAGAGAGAGCUGGUGUUCAAAGAGGAUGGGCAGGAUCUAAGGACCUUCUACCAGAGGGUAUGGUUCGAUUUUCCCCUCCUCGCUGAAAAUCAACACAGGACUUCUGUACCCCACACACACACCAAAUUUCAAGGUUGACCCUCACAAUUUCCCAUUGAUACCAUGAACGCAGCUACUCACAAUCUCUUGCGUUAUCUUUUUAAUGUAUUUAUAUCAAUUUCACGCAGAGUGGAAUUUACUUACAAGUACAGAAUCUCUGGAUUCGCAAUAAAAAGAUAAACCAUUUUAUGUUUGGUCUUGCGGUCUGUAUCAUUGUAGUUGGAAGUGAACAUUGCUCUUUAUAUUAGUUAGGAUUAUUUUUUAUUUAUUACGAAACACAUUACCCCUGAAGUUGCCUCUGUAUCCUUUGAAAUGUUUGUUUAAUUCGAUAUUGUAUUCCGAUGACAUUUUGCAAUUACAGAACGAUUUGUUUGUAUUGAUCAAAGCCUAAUUGAAGGCUCUACCUCCCCUUCUGUUUUUCAAGUGUCUGUAUUUUUCUAUUGUUUACCCAUGUUUGUUUGUUUGUUUGUCUGUCUGUUGGUUUUAUGUUUGUUUUGAUCCACUACCAGAGGGAUGUCACAAAGCCUCACUCGGUUUAAGGUAAUUCAAAAAAAUGUUUUUAGAUGGGGUUAUUUUCCUAAGCUAUUCUUGAAUAUGGGUUGUCUCAUCAAUUAUUCCAUGCCUAUUUCUAGAAAAUAUUAACUUAUUUUAGAAUAUUAUGGAAUGUUAUUUAUCUGUUAUCUCCUUGGUCCUGCUUUGUGACACCUCCCUGUCUGUCAGAGAAAACAGCUAGCUGCUAACUAGCCUGGUGCUCUAGUGUUGCGCAGGUUGGAAUUUAUGAAUAUUGCCGUGGAGGCAGCACUGCAGUGGUCACUAACUGGCACAGCCACAAAGUCAUAACCCUAAUGCCUGACUCGAACCUUCAAUUAAGACCAAAAAGCACUGUUUUGUUUUCAUACAUUUUUUACAAUCUAGAUCAUUUUUACUUUGCAUUUAGUGCAAGGAUGGGCAACUCCAGUCCUUGUCGGCCGGAGUGGUGUCACAAUUUUUCUCCAUCCUUAGCAUACAUGGCAGAUUAAACCAAAUCAAAUCAAAUCAAAUGUAUUUAUAUAGCCCUUUGUACAUCAGCUGAUAUCUCAAAGUGCUGUACAGAAACUCAGCCUAAAACCCCAAACAGCAAACAAUGCAGGUGUAAAAGCAACUAAUUGCAUUCUAAACUGAAGAUCAUGAUUAGAUGAUUUAUUGGAGUCAGGUAUUUUAGCUGUGACACCAAUCAGGCUCCUGAGGACUGGAGUUGCCUAUCCAUGAUCUAGUGGAAAUCGCUCAGUUCUUCCCCCAGGGUAAGAUUCAUGACAAUCAACGUGCCUGUUGCUGCCCUAGUCAAUUCCUCUGUUCCUUUACUGUCUUGCCUAAGAUGUCAUGCAAGGCUUGGCAUCUAUAGAGGAGUUGGCAACAACACACAGUGUAUGGGACUAG
Molecule: long non-coding RNA, 1759 nt
Organism: Oncorhynchus gorbuscha (pink salmon)
Lineage: Eukaryota; Metazoa; Chordata; Actinopteri; Salmoniformes; Salmonidae
Exons: 3
Source: RefSeq, a predicted model, not a curated record